CAGCAGCCGCGGUAAUACGGAGGGUGCAAGCGUUAAUCGGAAUUACUGGGCGUAAAGCGCACGCAGGCGGUUUGUUAAGUCAGAUGUGAAAUCCCCGGGCUCAACCUGGGAACUGCAUUUGAAACUGGCAAGCUAGAGUCUCGUAGAGGGGGGUAGAAUUCCAGGUGUAGCGGUGAAAUGCGUAGAGAUCUGGAGGAAUACCGGUGGCGAAGGCGGCCCCCUGGACAAAGACUGACGCUCAGGUGCGAAAGCGUGGGGAGCAAACAGGAUUAGAUACCCCUGUAGUCCCUGUCUCUUAUAC
This 301-nucleotide ribosomal RNA is filed under the name uncultured bacterium. RNAcentral describes it as "partial 16S ribosomal RNA". It matches the Rfam family "Bacterial small subunit ribosomal RNA", at positions 509 to 807 of the family's 1533-position model. The record is from RNAcentral.